Molecule: non-coding RNA, 117 nt
Filed under: chicken gut metagenome
Description: FMN riboswitch (RFN element)
Rfam family: FMN riboswitch aptamer (RFN element)
About the family: The RFN element is a highly conserved domain that is found frequently in the 5'-untranslated regions of prokaryotic mRNAs that encode for flavin mononucleotide (FMN) biosynthesis and transport proteins. This element is a metabolite-dependent riboswitch that directly binds FMN in the absence of proteins.
Source: RNAcentral
UUCUUCAGGGCAGGGUGUAAUUCCCGACCGGUGGUUAUAGUCCACGACCCUUAUUUAAAAAUAAGGCUGACUUGGUGAAAUUCCAAGACCGACAGUAUAGUCUGGAUGGGAGAAGAA